RNAcentral lists this non-coding RNA (30 nucleotides) under Homo sapiens (human). Lineage: Eukaryota; Metazoa; Chordata; Mammalia; Primates; Hominidae. The record is from RNAcentral.
UGCUUGUGCCGUGAAACUUAGCCUAGGAGU